GCGGGUGUAGCUCAGUUGGUUAGAGCGUCUGAUUGUGGUUCAGAAGGUCGUGGGUUCGAUCCCCACCACUCGCC
RNAcentral lists this transfer RNA (74 nucleotides) under Planctomycetota bacterium. RNAcentral describes it as "Planctomycetes bacterium tRNA-His". It matches the Rfam family "tRNA". Rfam says of the family: Transfer RNA (tRNA) molecules are approximately 80 nucleotides in length. Their secondary structure includes four short double-helical elements and three loops (D, anti-codon, and T loops). Further hydrogen bonds mediate the characteristic L-shaped molecular structure. tRNAs have two regions of fundamental functional importance: the anti-codon, which is responsible for specific mRNA codon recognition, and the 3' end, to which the tRNAs corresponding amino acid is attached (by aminoacyl-tRNA synthetases). tRNAs cope with the degeneracy of the genetic code in two manners: having more than one tRNA (with a specific anti-codon) for a particular amino acid; and 'wobble' base-pairing, i.e. permitting non-standard base-pairing at the 3rd anti-codon position. Lineage: Bacteria; Pseudomonadati; Planctomycetota. The record is from RNAcentral.